UGAGCAAUCUGCCCUUCUCAUCGGAAUAAGCGUUGGAAACGACGUCUAAUGCCGAAUACGACCUCCUUUCGCAUGAUCGGAGGUGGAAAGCUCCGGCGGAGAAGGAUGAGCUCGCGGCCUAUCAGCUAGUUGGUGUGGGUAAUGGCCCACCAAGGCGACGACGGGUAGCCGGCCUGAGAGGGUGACCGGCCACACUGGGACUGAGACACGGCCCAGACCUCCGUACGGGGAGCAG
This 235-nucleotide ribosomal RNA is filed under the name uncultured bacterium. RNAcentral's name for it is "partial 16S ribosomal RNA". It matches the Rfam family "Bacterial small subunit ribosomal RNA", at positions 118 to 351 of the family's 1533-position model. The record is from RNAcentral.